RNAcentral lists this ribosomal RNA (200 nucleotides) under uncultured bacterium. RNAcentral describes it as "partial 16S ribosomal RNA". It matches the Rfam family "Bacterial small subunit ribosomal RNA", at positions 384 to 576 of the family's 1533-position model. The record is from RNAcentral.
UGAUCCAGCAACGCCGCGUGGAGGACGAAGGUCUUCGGAUCGUAAACUCCUGUCAGAUGGGAAGAAUGGGCGUCGGCAAAUAGCCGACGUUCUUGACUGUACCAUCAGAGGAAGCCCCGGCUAACUCUGUGCCAGCAGCCGCGGUAAUACAGAGGGGGCAAGCGUUAUUCGGAAUUAUUGGGCGUAAAGGGCGCGUAGGC